Molecule: long non-coding RNA, 4485 nt
Organism: Solanum pennellii
Lineage: Eukaryota; Viridiplantae; Streptophyta; Magnoliopsida; Solanales; Solanaceae
Exons: 2
Source: RefSeq, a predicted model, not a curated record
CAACUAAAUAUUCGAGACUUAUUUGAUAACUUUCAGUUAAUUUUCUCAACUUUCCUCUUUCAAUUAACUAUUCGAGACUUAUUUGAAACCUUUCACUUAAUUUUCUCAACUUUCCUCUUUCAAUUAACGAUUUCUUUCAUUGAAGAACUUGCUUCCAUGGUGAAGAGAGCUGAAGAACAAAAGAUUUUCUUCUCCGAUACCAAUUUGUGAGAAAAAGACGUUGAAGAGUUGAAGUCGUCGAAGAACUAGCUAGAGAUUUGAAGAGUCGAAGUCAUCGAAGAAUUGAUCGGUGACCUUGUUUUCUGCGACAACGAUUUCUUCAAAAGUAAGUACGAUUUUCUUUUUCGAUACCUAUUUCGCCAAGCGUAAGUACUAAAACAGUCUUCUUGUUAGCUGAACUGGUUGAUUUUUUGUGCGUUUUUAGAAGGAAUCGAUCAUGUUGGGGUUAUUGGCAAGACUCAACUGAAGCUAGUUAGUCUCUCUGUCACGCUUUUCUCUCGAAUUUCUCACCAAAGAACACGAUUUUACACAGAUUUUGUUGGAACAGGGUUUGUAAAGUUAGAAAUUCUAUCUUUGAAAGUCUAAAUUUUAGCUUUAGGGUUUUGAUAUUCUUCUGUUUUUAUACGGGUUUUGGGAGUGUAGCUAGAAUUUUAGCUUCAUCAGUUGAUUUUUGGGAGUGUAGCUCUUACUUUAGCCUCCCUAUGGAGGCCUCCCUUCUUGUCAUUGUUAGGGGAUGGAAAAAAGUUGGGAUUUAUAUGAGUAAAAACAUUUAGAAUAGCUUAAGAGAAUAGUUAAAAUAUAUAUAUAGAAACACAUUCAAGGAAGGGAGAGUUAAGUGUCGAUAAGAGUAUCACAUUUUCUAAUUCGGUUUGCAUCACUUUUCCCAAGCUUUGUUCGAGUACAAAAUUCUGCCCAGAAUUCUCUUCCUUCGUUCGUGUUCGAGUCUCGUGGUGAAGAUCUUUCCCUGCUCGUCCCAUUCCCUUUCACUACCGGAAGAAAGGUAAUGUGGUUUUCCUCAUAGUAAUCUUUUUGCCUCUUCUUCUAUUUUAAGAGUGAUAUUGUGACGGUAUGAAAGUUGUUCUGAUGAGUUUGUAUCUUUUUAUUUGAUUUAUCUUUGAGUUGAUGUUGAUUCAAUAUGAGAUAUGUGUUUCUUAGUUGCUUUCACGGGUCUGUUGAAUGAUUGUUGCAGGUAUAGAUAUGGCUGUAAGGAACAAUUCAAGUAUUUACAAAAGAGCAUCCGAAAAAAGAGGAAUGAGUCUUCCAGGAGUUCCAACAAUAAAAGAGGGAUAUAAAGCGGCUACUUGGAUGUUGGAUAUCACCACUCCAGCAGUUGAGGGUCGACUAAAUGUGGACUUUGGAGAGGUUUACGUGAACCCAGAUCUAUAUUAGUAAUAAGAAGAUAACAUAGUCAUUUUCAUUUUAGUUUCAGUAUUGUGUUACUAACUAGCUCAAUGUCGUUUACAACUAAAAUUUUCACAGGGGGAAUCAAGAACUAACCAAACAACUAAGUGUUCCAGUACCAGGAUCCCAUGAACUACGUUUUACUACGAAAUAUUCUCAAUCGUUUGUUGAUUAGUGAAAAGCUUGCUUUUGGGAACUCCAAUUAUCUUAUUGGAGGUAUCCACAAUAUAAUACCGUAAGGUUUUUCAUGACAGCAACUAUAGGGAUCAUGUUUGGAAUUAUUUUCUGGGAUAAGGGGAACAAAAUGCGAGUCAUCGUCUGACUCCUUCUGUUUAAAUGGACGAAUCAGUCAAUUAGGCCUCAUUUCAUGAAUUUCCUUGCCCGUUUAACUUGAUGAGAUAAUGUAAACAGGUAAAAACUGCAAGACCUAUUGAAUGAACAGGGAGCUAUGUUGCUGUUAUAUUCCUUUUAAGUACCAAAAAUAAUUGUGGUUGAACUGGCAAAGCUUAGGCUUCAGUUGGUGUAUUCUCACAGCAAAGAAAAUGUGAGCCCAAAUAAGCCAAAAAAUGACUCCAAUAUUACCUGGUAAUGCUGGCAAAUCUUAAUUUAACAAUAAUGUAUGUUGGUAAUGUUGAAGUUUCCUCUUUUCUGGUAGUACUUGUUUAGAUUUGCUAUGGGAGUCAUUUGUGACGUAUUAGGUCCUAGAUAUGGCUGCACGUUUUCACAUAUUGUAAUCAGCCCCUGAUGUUUAUUUUAUGUUGCUACUGACUUUCUCCUCUAUGAGCAGUAGAUAUGCUUUGGAUAUGACUUAUUCUACACACUUAAUUGCAGUACGGUGUUCAAGAACAUUUUGAGAAAUAACAAUUUGAGUGUAGCUUCAGAGUUUCUUCUCCAUCCCACUAUUUUUACAUGGAAGAAAUAAUCUUUAUCUGUUUGUCUGUACUUUUGUGUAGUUUUGAGGAACGAUUUCUAUUAUUUUUCAUAAAAAUGUUAUAGCCGUACAAAGUAACCAUGAGAGAUCGUGAAAUGCAAGCUUUGUUAUGAAAACUGAAACCAAACUUUUGGGAGGAUCCCUAGUGUUUCCACUUUCUAUUUCUUUCUUGGGACAAUGAAGACAUUCUCUGGCGAAAUCCUCUUACUUUUCUUUUAUAGCAUCUCUUGGUUCAUUUCCUUCUGUCGGCUAAUGAUUUUUGUUGUUGUGAAAAGUUGCAGCAGAUUUGGUGCUCUUUACAGGCAUGUCUUCUAAUUAUCUCACAUCUAUUUAUCCACAAUGCAUACUACAUAGUUAUCGUAUUCUUUCAACUACUAUUUUUCAUUCAUUAGCCAGGUUAGAUUGGAAGAAUUAUCAGUUCACUUCAUUUUGUCCUUGCUUCAGGGGAUUUUGGGAAUGAAAAUGUGGAUUGCAGAUCUAGAGAUCACCAAAGCUGUUAUUCUAGGGAACCAUGACGCAUGGAAUACUCAAAAGUUCUUUGGGAAGUGAGUCCAAGUUCCAUUUUAUCAGACUGCUUAGAGGGAAAAAUCACUUCCUCAUUCUUUUUCCAUCAUUUGUUGGAAUUCAAACUUUGGUAGAUAGGGUGGUCGGAUAAGUGUUGUGGUUUCAUGAAGGUUGUUGAUAAUGGCAAAUGGGGUGACAACUGUAGUAGUGUUUGAGUAGGAUUAAUGAGCAUUGAUUUUGGUGGUAGAUUCCGUGGGAAAUCAUUGAUAAAUUUAAAGGAUGUUUUCCUUGAAACAUAAUGACCUCAGAAUCUUCUAGCAUUAACUGUGAACAACAUUACUGACUUGAAAAUAUGAAGUAUCAAUAAUGGAUGAAACAUAUUGUCAGGCUCAUUUUUUCCUGUCCACUUAGUUGACAUGAGCAUACCUAUCUUCCCUUCCCGGUGCUCAUUACUCAGCUAUACAAGAUACCUGGAGUUCCCUUUAGAGGGAAAAAUAAUUUCAAGAUUACUCUAGUCUCCUACAAUGAAAUUCAGAGGAUGAAGACUCGGUAUUUGAGAGAUGAUGCUGCUCGAAGAAAUCCGCCACUAGCAGAUUCCACUCUAGUGGUCGACCCUGCUACCCUAGAAAGUGAGACCAACGCACCUUCUCCUUCUAUAGAGAAGGUAGGUUUUUCCAGACCUUCCUUUAUUAUUCGGUCUUCUAUUGAUACAUAUGUACAACCUGCUAUUGCUUUAACUAGAAUUUUUAUUCCUCCCCCUUCUCAUGUAUAUCGUCCCUCAUUCACUCGGGCUUUGAUAUAUAAGAUAGAUAGCCUUGCCUAGUCAGAUUAUGUGAGAGCUACGCGGAUUUAGAGGGACGUGCCUCUACUCAUUGAGAAGGACUUGACACAUGUGAUUAAGAGAGUGAGAAAGUGUGAGGGGACAGUACCAAGCCAUACUUUGAAGCAUAAUGAUCAAAAUGCAACGGUUGAGGAUUAGAAGAAGGUUUGGAUAGUUCUAGUGAUGUGGAUACUUUGAGGGCAGAGUUGGUACAUAUAAAAUUUGUGGACAUAUCUAUAGGUUGGGGUGAGGUUCCUUUCAAAAGCGCUUGAUGUCCUAAUUCAAUACUUUUGCUUAUGUGCCUGAGGUUUUGUUGAUGUAGAGGUUGUUGAUAAUGCGAGUGAGAGGGACGAGGACGAGUUGGGGAAUUAAACUUAUGAGGAGAAGUUGAGAGAUGAGGAAAACGGGUUUGCUGACACACUGACAAAGAUUCAUGAUAUUGAGGUCAUUCUUCGGGUUGCGCUGGAAGGUUCUUCGACAGACUUUAGAGGUCGCAUGUAAUUGAUUCAAUCUCGACUCCACCAUAACUCAUGUAUCUCACAUCGGCACUAAUGAUGAACUGUACCUCUUAUGUUUCCUCCUGUGAUCCUAUUGCCAUGAAUUGAUGCUACUCUUGAGGCUUCUCAACUUGAGACUCUACAUAAGAGUGUUGUUCAUGCAUACCUUAUCAACGAGACCUAUUUUAUUAUCCUUCUAUUAAAUUUAUUUUAUUUUUUAGUGACACUACAUUUUGUUUUUGGUGGCGGUGAGGGAUUUCAUGCCAAUAUUCCCUUUUGUCUAGUAUUUUGUUAUUUUUAAUUAUUAAAAAUUAUAGUUUGUUGAUUCUUGA